RNAcentral lists this ribosomal RNA (254 nucleotides) under uncultured bacterium. RNAcentral's name for it is "partial 16S ribosomal RNA". It matches the Rfam family "Bacterial small subunit ribosomal RNA", at positions 524 to 776 of the family's 1533-position model. The record is from RNAcentral.
UACGGGGGGAGCAAGCGUUGUUCGGAUUUACUGGGCGUAAAGGGCGCGUAGGCGGUCGUGACAAGUCACUUGUGAAAUCUCCGGGCUUAACUCGGAACGGUCAAGUGAUACUGUCGGACUAGAGUACAGAAGGGGCAACUGGAAUUCUCGGUGUAGCGGUGAAAUGCGUAGAUAUCGAGAGGAACACCUGCGGCGAAGGCGGGCUGCUGGGCUGAUACUGACGCUUAGGCGCGAAAGCCAGGGGAGCGAACGGG